UACGGAGACUGCAAGCGUUAUUCGGAUUCACUGGGCGUAAAGGGUGCGUAGGCGGCCAAGUGUGUCAGGUGUGAAAUCUCGGGGCUCAACCUCGAAACUGCGCUUGAAACUACUUGGCUAGAGUCUCGGAGAGGAAAGUGGAAUUCCUGGUGUAGCGGUGAAAUGCGUAGAUAUCAGGAGGAACACCAAUGGCGAAGGCAGCUUUCUGGACGAGUACUGACGCUGAGGCACGAAAGUGUGGGUAGCGAAAGGG
RNAcentral lists this unclassified non-coding RNA (253 nucleotides) under uncultured Verrucomicrobiota bacterium. RNAcentral's name for it is "uncultured Verrucomicrobia bacterium contains 16S-23S intergenic spacer region". It matches the Rfam family "Bacterial small subunit ribosomal RNA", at positions 524 to 776 of the family's 1533-position model. The record is from RNAcentral. Lineage: Bacteria; Pseudomonadati; Verrucomicrobiota.